Molecule: ribosomal RNA, 424 nt
Filed under: Leptochela japonica
Lineage: Eukaryota; Metazoa; Arthropoda; Malacostraca; Decapoda; Pasiphaeidae
Description: partial 16S ribosomal RNA
Rfam family: Bacterial large subunit ribosomal RNA
Source: RNAcentral
AAUAGUCUUUUAAUUGAAGGCUGGAAUGAAUGGUCGGACAAGAUACAAGCUGUCUUAAAUUUAAAUCUUAAAUUUUACUUUUAAGUGAAAAGGCUUAAAUUAUUUAAAGUGACGAUAAGACCCUAUAAAGCUUUAUAUUGAGCAAGGUUAGUUUUAUAUAUAAGGUAUAAAUUUAAUUUUUCUUCUAAUAUUGCAUUGGGGCGAUGAGAAUUUAAUAAGUAACAGUUGUAAAUUAAAAAUAAAUGAUAUUUAGAAUAGGAGAUCCUUUAUAAAGAUUAUAAGAAAAAGUUACUUUAGGGAUAACAGCGUGAUUUUUUCAGAGAGUUCAUAUCGAUGAAAGUAGUUGCGACCUCGAUGUUGAAUUAAGAUUUCUUUAGGGUGCAGUUGUUCUAAAGUGUAGGUCUGUUCGACCUUUAAAAUCUUA